This 67-nucleotide transfer RNA is filed under the name Thienemanniella curva. RNAcentral describes it as "tRNA-Asn". Lineage: Eukaryota; Metazoa; Arthropoda; Insecta; Diptera; Chironomidae. The record is from RNAcentral.
UUAACUGAAACCAAAAAGAGGUAUAUCACUGUUAAUGAUAAAAAUGAAUUCUAUUAUUCCAGUUAAA